Molecule: ribosomal RNA, 496 nt
Filed under: uncultured archaeon
Lineage: Archaea
Description: bacterial SSU rRNA
Rfam family: Archaeal small subunit ribosomal RNA
Source: RNAcentral
CUUUUGUUAGUCGUAAAACCACUGAUGAAUAAGGGGUGGGCAAGUUCUGGUGUCAGCCGCCGCGGUAAAACCAGCACCUCAAGUGGUCAGGAGGAUUAUUGGGCCUAAAGCAUCCGUAGCCUGCUCUGUAAGUUUCCGGUUAAAUCCAUUCGCUCAACUGAUGGGCUGCCGGAAAAACUGCAAAGCUAGGGAGUGGGAGAGGUAGACGGUACUCGGUAGGAAGGGGUAAAAUCCUUUGAUCUAUUGAUGACCACCUGUGGCGAAGGCGGUCUACCAGAACACGUUCGACGGUGAGGGAUGAAAGCUGGGGGAGCAAACCGGAUUAGAUACCCGGGUAGUCCCAGCUGUAAACGAUGCAGACUCGGUGAUGCUCUGGCUUGUGGCCAGUGCAGUGCCGCAGGGAAGCCGUUAAGUUUGCCGCCUGGGAAGUACGUACGCAAGUAUGAAACUUAAAGGAAUUGGCGGGGGAGCACCACAAGGGGUGAAGCCUGCGGUU